Molecule: ribosomal RNA, 490 nt
Filed under: uncultured bacterium
Lineage: Bacteria
Description: partial 16S ribosomal RNA
Rfam family: Bacterial small subunit ribosomal RNA
Source: RNAcentral
GAUGAACGCUAGCUACAGGCUUAACACAUGCAAGUCGAGGGGCAGCAUGGUCUUAGCUUGCUAAGGCCGAUGGCGACCGGCGCACGGGUGAGUAACACGUAUCCAACCUGCCGUCUACUCUUGGACAGCCUUCUGAAAGGAAGAUUAAUACAAGAUGGCAUCAUGAGUCCGCAUGUUCACAUGAUUAAAGGUAUUCCGGUAGACGAUGGGGAUGCGUUCCAUUAGAUAGUAGGCGGGGUAACGGCCCACCUAGUCUUCGAUGGAUAGGGGUUCUGAGAGGAAGGUCCACCACAUUGGAACUGAGACACGGUCCAAACUCCUACGGGAGGCAGCAGUGAGGAAUAUUGGUCAAUGGGCGCAGGCCUGAACCAGCCAAGUAGCGUGAAGGAUGACUGCGCUAUGGGUUGUAAACUUCUUUUAUAAAGGAAUAAAGUCGGGUAUGCAUACCCGUUUGCAUGUACUUUAUGAAUAAGGAUCGGCUAACUCCGUG